UAUGUUGAAAUGUAGACAAAACUA
RNAcentral lists this non-coding RNA (24 nucleotides) under Arabidopsis thaliana (thale cress). The record is from RNAcentral. Lineage: Eukaryota; Viridiplantae; Streptophyta; Magnoliopsida; Brassicales; Brassicaceae.